CCCCACAUCACCUUUCACCCCCCCUCACUAUCUGAGUACUCACCCACUAAUUUGUAGUAAUUUUAACACAAGUAUAUGUAGUUCUAGUGACUGCAGAUUACUUCACGUAUGCGCCAUAUGCCUAGGGACUCAUGACAAAACCAUGUGACCGUAUAAGUUGAAUCAAAUGUCAUGAAUGCAGAGAUAAAUAAGAAUUGACGAUCUACUUAUCACAUCCGUCCCCGCACUUGAUAGAAGAAU
Molecule: non-coding RNA, 240 nt
Organism: Pelobates cultripes (western spadefoot toad)
Lineage: Eukaryota; Metazoa; Chordata; Amphibia; Anura; Pelobatidae
Source: the annotation of a GenBank genome assembly